Long non-coding RNA from Ixodes scapularis (black-legged tick), 667 nucleotides. RefSeq lists it as uncharacterized. The transcript is spliced from 4 exons. NCBI's taxonomy places the organism in Eukaryota, Metazoa, Arthropoda, Arachnida, Ixodida, Ixodidae. The record is from RefSeq and is a predicted model, not a curated record.
GUUUCAUCGGACCGCUCUGCCGAUCUCUCGGCGUGGAGGAAACGUAAACAAAGAAAAUGUACUCUCUUGUCCAUUUUUUGGCGGAAAAUGAUGUCGCAGUUGUCCCUACCUGUUGGGUGUGCAAUGGCUGCACGGCAUGGCCACCCUACAAAUCAAAUCGGUUGAUGAUGGCAAUUAGAGAGCGUGAAGAGCCCUCGACUGACUGGGCCACAUUCUCCUGUCAGGUGAUGGCAUCAUGUUUGACAUAUGAAGAUGCAAAGUACAAAGAAAAAAAAUUCGGAAGCGACGUCCGACCUAACAUUGAAUAAUGAAGAGCGGGAGAAGAGAAAAAGGAAGAGACUGCAGCAUACUCUUUCUUCAUUUGAGGAUGAGGACUUCUAUGACCAAGAUGAACGACGUAACACUCAGCCAGCCCCUCAACUUCCAGAACGUGCACCAGAGCCCAAGCAAAAACGCACACGUGUAUGUUUGCUUUUUGUUGCUGCAAUUUCUUAACGCUUUCCAGCAUUUAGAUUUUUUAUUUUAUGUGAUUAGCCUCAGCUUGGUUAGCUGCAAUUGUGAUAAUGAAUGGUAUCCAUAUUGUUUAUUGAGCACCUGCUGUUUUGGUGUUUCUUUUAGAGCGCAGCUCUUAGGCGCCCGUUUCCGGCUUGAGUGGUGUCGCCGUCGC